Molecule: transfer RNA, 67 nt
Filed under: Hydrophilidae sp. BMNH 1274335
Lineage: Eukaryota; Metazoa; Arthropoda; Insecta; Coleoptera; Hydrophilidae
Description: tRNA-Pro
Source: RNAcentral
CAGAGAAUAGUUUAUUAUAAAAUAUUAAUUUUGGAGAUUAAUGAUAAAAGUUCUUUUUUUUCUCUGA